RNAcentral lists this ribosomal RNA (352 nucleotides) under Clemnius decoratus. Its description in RNAcentral is "Hygrotus decoratus partial 12S ribosomal RNA". The record is from RNAcentral. Lineage: Eukaryota; Metazoa; Arthropoda; Insecta; Coleoptera; Dytiscidae.
UUUAAAUGUAAAAUUUAAAUAUCAAAGUAGUAUUAGUUAUGAUCUUGAAAUUUAAAGAUUUUGGCGGUAUUUUAGUCUAUUUAGAGGAACCUGUUCUAUAAUUGAUAGUCCACGAGAAAUUAUACUUGGUUAAAUUAGUUUGUAUAUCGUCGUUAUUAAAUAUUUUAAAAGAAAUUAAAUGUUUAAGAUUUUUUAUAAAAAAAUAUUUCAGAUCAAGGUGCAGUUUAUAAUUAAGUAGAAAUGGGUUACAAUAAAAAUAUUUAGAUGGAUUUAUUUAUGAAAAUAAUAAUGAAGGUGGAUUUAAUAGUAAUAAAAUUAAAAUAAAUUUUAUGAUUAAAGCUCUAAAAUGUGU